GUGGAUUUGUUCUGCUUAGCAGAGGUUAACACCCAAGUGUUGGUGCACUGAGUGGCAGGGAAGUUCUUUGAAAAGCCCUGUGAGCUCAGGGAUCAUUGUAGAGGCCCCUGCUGGAAGAGUCUGUCCCUGCACAUUUAUAGGAUUGCGGUUGAUCAUCUCUCAACAGCAAGAGGUUAUGGAAGAGAAAUCUGAAGAGAAAGAUGAGAAAAAGGUGGAGAAAUCCUUCACUUCAAAUGAGAUUAGAGAAAUAUGUAAAAUGUGGGAAACAGUCCAAAAUUUUGUAGAAAACACCACCCAAAUAAGUCCAUAGUGGUGCAAAUGAUGAAAUCUGCUGAACAACAAUGCAAUGUCACAUUCCUCCAAAAUACUCAAAAGCAGCCAUGAAGGUUUUCAAAGAUAAUGAACUGGAUUGGAGCAGGAGAAGGACCUCAGAUAUGUGAUCCAUUUGGAAGAUGUUAAAGAUUAUUCAAGAAGGGGACAUAGUUGCCUAAAGUUAGGGUCAGAAAAUGGUGGAAUUUGAGAACAUUUAAUAAGUAGAUAUUUAAAAGAUCUGAUAGGAAGAAAAGGGGCAAAGGGGAAGGGGAAGUGGGCGGGGUAAAGGAAAGGAAAGGAAAGAAGGGAAUGGAAUUAAUAUGAGAAAAUGGAAAAAUGGAAACAAAAUCUUUGUAAAUAGGGAGGGAUGGAGGGGUUGAAGGGAGCACAGAGGAAGGGGGAAAAAUAAGAACCAAGAGAGAUUAUGUAAAGGUGCAAAUUUCCAAUGAUGAAUGUCAUUAUAUUGUAUACCUAAAAUGUACCAAUGAUUAAAAUGAAUUAUUGAUAAUGUGAAAUAGGAAAAAAAGGUCCAAAG
Molecule: long non-coding RNA, 847 nt
Organism: Heterocephalus glaber (naked mole-rat)
Lineage: Eukaryota; Metazoa; Chordata; Mammalia; Rodentia; Bathyergidae
Source: Ensembl